This is a non-coding RNA of Jatropha curcas, 1386 nucleotides long. The record is from RefSeq and is a predicted model, not a curated record. Lineage: Eukaryota; Viridiplantae; Streptophyta; Magnoliopsida; Malpighiales; Euphorbiaceae.
AUGUAAAUGUUUAUUUAAGACCUUCUCAAAUGUCAGCAACCUCAAACCCCUCUUUCUGGCUCACAUUUUUGCCCGCAGCAAUGUCAAAAGAAAAGAAGAAGAGCAACAAACAACUCACCUCACCCAACCACAACCCAAAUCUAUCGUCAGAUCUACCCCAACAACUUCUCUAUCAACUAGAAAGAAAACCCUCAUUAAUGCAAGAAAUUUAUUCUAAGGGAGCAACAAAGUCAUGGAUAACAGAACCAGGCAAGUGCAGUAAAUCAUCAAAUGCAACCCUACCAUGGCUUGAAGUCUCUACUGAUAAUGAAAAUAGCCAAAACCGACCUCACACCUUCAAUAUAUCGUUUAGAAGCGGAUCCUAUUCGUAUCGGAGUCCACAGUGUAGCCCUGUAAUAGAAGACUACCAUUUUCUUGGAUGUUCUUAUGGUUUAUUAAUCUCUAAAGGAGAUUUAGAUUAUAAAUUAUGGGAUCCAAUUGAUAAUGGAUGGUGGCAUCUUCCUUUAUGGGAUAAUAGAAUUCCAUUUCUAUGCACUGCUUUAUCUUCUAUGCCGAUGAUGGAAAAUAAAAAGAAUAAAAGUACUUUGAUUGUAUUAACAGUAUUUCUAAUCAAGGUUUUGAUUAUUUUAGAAUAUGGGAAGGUGGAGAUUGGAUUAAAUAAGAUAGCAAUAUUGUGGAUCCAAAUAAUUAGAAAGGUCGUCUUUUAAAAUUUAGCAAUGGGAUUUGGUUUAAAGAAAAAUUUUAUGCUUUGAGUUUGCAGGGAACUCGUGCAGUUAUUGAAGAAGUUGAUUGCGAUCUUAAAAUUACUGCUGUUGGGAAGAAAAGAGCUGCUCCCUCUGUUUCGUGUAUGCAUUUUAAAGAAUGCUUGGUUGAAUCGGAAGGGAAGAUUUUGCUUGUUUUUCUUAUUUCUAAAAAUUCUAUCAAAACUGUGGAUUUUGUGGAAGCUUACGAGCUUAAUACUGAUAAAUUGGUUUGGUUCAAGAAGGAGAACAUUGAGAAUAAGACGUUGUUCGUUGGUGCUAAUUGUUGUAUGUUUAUUUUAGUGAUAGUUAUUAUGGUGAUGGUUGGUGGGUAUAUGAGAUGGAAACAGGUUCUGUCUCUCGUCGUAGCAUCUCCAAUCCAGAUAAGUACCAGAAUUUGGUUGAAUAAUUGAACAAUUUCUAUGCUAAAAAUAUCCUCUGAUUAUCUGAUUUGUGCUGUAUUUCUAGACCAUAUUUUUGCCACCAACUAUGUGUUUGUUAAGAUGCUUCAAAGAAGUAUAUGUGUUGUUGUUUAUCAAAAACUUGAAGUGGUGUAAUUUCCUCUUAUGUGUUUGACAAAAACUGUUUGAUAUAUUGAAUUUCUAGGUUGUUUUCCAGAUUUUGAUAGACAGAUUCGAAUGGCAAA